UAAUUUUGUGAAUAUUAUGAUGGUGUCCGAUUAUGUCUAACUUAAUAAUUAAUUUAAUUUAUUAUAAGUCGUAAAGUAAAACAGAUGUCUGAAAAAAUAAGUGAGAAAAGCGACCCCGUUUACAGAAUAAUACAAACAGACAAAUGAUAAUACCCCCACCCCAUUUUUCCGUUUCCCGUUUCCCGUUCUCGCCUCUCUCUCUCUGUCUCUCCUCCUCUCUCACACUCAUCAGUCAAAGCAGAAAGAAACCAGAAAGCUGAAGACUUUAGCCUUCAAACAGCCAGAAAUACAAGCUCUCUCUCGUCUAACUGCAGAGCACUACCAGCAGUAGUAGAUGCUCUUUACUCUUUCCUUCUCUAUAUUGGACUCCUAACUUCCUUCACCACACUCCCUUCAUUUCCCCUCUUCAUGGCCGGCAACCCUUCCGACACUCCUUCCGAUGAUUUCCUCCAGGAAAUCCUCGGCCUCCAGAGCUUCG
RNAcentral lists this long non-coding RNA (478 nucleotides) under Linum usitatissimum (flax). RNAcentral describes it as "long non-coding RNA (LUSI_LNC005913)". Lineage: Eukaryota; Viridiplantae; Streptophyta; Magnoliopsida; Malpighiales; Linaceae. The record is from RNAcentral.